Amblyraja radiata (thorny skate) is the source of this 795-nucleotide long non-coding RNA. RefSeq lists it as uncharacterized. The record is from RefSeq and is a predicted model, not a curated record. The transcript is spliced from 3 exons. NCBI's taxonomy places the organism in Eukaryota, Metazoa, Chordata, Chondrichthyes, Rajiformes, Rajidae.
AACGCACCCAGCCCUCGGCUCGACCCCUUAAACCCUGUGAUCUCGAUCUGAAAAGUCUCGUUCAUCCAAGUCUGUCCAUAUGUAAUGAUGGACUAGGCACUGGUGCGUGGCAGACAUUCGAACCGCCGCGGGGAAGGUGCAGAUCAAAUCACGGGGAAUACUAACAAUGAGCAAGCAAGCAAAGAGAUAUCAAGAUUGCAAGGGAACAGGAAACCGAGGAGAUUAAAGGAUCUUUUGUUAAUUGAAUAGAAAGCAGUCACAUGCGAUAGUUACGGCACGGUUGGCGAUGCUACAUCUUGUCCAAAAAUGACCGCGAUGGCAAGAUAUGCUGGAAACAGUCCCAACCUGAUUCAGAAUUUUGCUUGGUUCAUUUUUGAACGAGGUAGCAUCAAGAACUUAAGAAUUAACUGAAUAAAUGACCAGAAAGAUUUCUGGAGGAAUUCAUAAGGCUUUGUUCCUCUGCCUCAUUCUGCAUCCAAUGGCAUUGUGUUUCCUUUCAGCUUUCCUGUGCAAGACUUGCACCCAGCUGUAACCAAUCACCCAGCUGUGCGUUGCCAAGCUUUUUUUUUCUCAAAUAUGGCUUUUUUUUCCAGCAGUAUCUUGUUCCUGCUGUACAUGUGUGUUUAAUCUGUCCUUCAUUAUACAGUGAAAACUAGAAUGAACUCAUGAUAAAAACUAGCAGAGAAUGAUGGUGUAUUUGGGAAAUAUUGAGGGAGCACUAAUACCUUUCCUCGGCAAGGCCAGCAGCAUAAUCAAGCUGAGUUGCACCCUGGCCAUUCCCUCUUUUCCCCUCUC